GGGGAGUUAGCUCAGUUGGUAGAGCGUCGGCUUUGCAAGCCGAAGGCCAGCGGUUCGAAUCCGCUACUCUCCA
This 73-nucleotide transfer RNA is filed under the name Bacteroidota bacterium. RNAcentral's name for it is "Bacteroidetes bacterium (hot springs metagenome) tRNA-Ala". It matches the Rfam family "tRNA". Rfam says of the family: Transfer RNA (tRNA) molecules are approximately 80 nucleotides in length. Their secondary structure includes four short double-helical elements and three loops (D, anti-codon, and T loops). Lineage: Bacteria; Pseudomonadati; Bacteroidota. The record is from RNAcentral. RNAcentral also lists the same sequence under 2 other names.